UAAUAUCAGAAAUUAUGUCAGCUUUACGGUAUCUUUGCCUUUGCUGCCACAGUCUGACUCUAAUCCAUUGUCAUAGGCACACACUGGAAUAAAAGCAAAAACAAAAAAAAAGUCUCAAGAGCAAUUAAUAUUGGCAGCUUUGCUGUUUGGCUCUGCACAGAGUCUGGACUUCAACACACUGCUUUAGUACUUCAGUGCCCCACGUUCUGCUGCUUCUGAGGGAAGGACUGAAUUACCUUGGCUCAGGAGCAGCACAAGAGAAUCUGGGACAACUGCUUAUUUUGUUGUGUCUGUUCUGUGGCUAAGCACUCCCCAGAGCUAUUAGAACUUGAAUGAGCACUUGCUUCUGUACAAUGAUGUGACAGGAAAAAGCUACAACAGAUUUCUAUGCUCACUGGAGUACCACUGCCCACAUAUUCAAGUAGGAAUAGAAAUAAUCAGGAACUAGAACUACAGAAGGAAGAUUACAACUUGACUUCCAAAAAAGAUUUCUGGACAUCAGUUUCCUUAGGUUCAUGAGCCAAUCCAGAGAGUACAGACUUAGAAACAGCUAAUAGCCAUGUUAGCUAAAUGGAGCCCCCACACACAGAAGGCAGAAUAUGGAAUAUAUGGAGAUGUUGUGGACAAUCAGCAUCAGAAGGGCCACCACCUUCAUGUCCUGUUUCUGAGUUAGCAGAGGCAUUCAAGCACCGUUGCUGGAAAUGGAAUGUUGGAAUAGAGGGACUUCGAUCUGAUCUAGCAAAUCAAGUCUUCCGUUAUCAGCUGGUCCAAAGACAGACAAGAGGAAGAAGUCAUCUAUAAGUUGAACCAAGCCUUUCAAAAUAUACUGGGCAUUAUUCAAAGACUCAUGCACGCAGAUGUUUUCUUUUUCUUGGGUAUGAAAGAACAUAGUAAAUAAGCACAUAGCUACAGACUAGAGCCCUAUUCACAUGUUAUGUUCAAUACACUUACAGUCUGUACAGCAUAAGUAUGUACUGAAUGCGCACACAUGUAUUCACACACAUUAUAUUCAUUGCACAUACAGUAGUACAUUUCCCCAUUGUACCUUGCAUUUGAAGAGGCCUGUAUCCAGGCUCACUUUUAAAAUAAAUGCAUGUACAUUACACACAAAAGUGUGUGCAAGUGUACAUACAAGUGUAUGCACAUACAAUGUAAUAUCUGAAUGGGGUUUAGGCAUGCAUGCAUUGUGUGUAUCAGCCUACCGCCUGAUGUCUGUACAUGAUGCUGGUGUAUGUAGGACAAUGAAUUCAUUAGUGAUGGGUCAAACAACUAUCAUGAUACUUUGCCCCCUUUCACAGCAUAAUCAUGAAACAAUGGGCUUGGUGAGAAAAAGGAACAAGUCACAUCUCCUCAAUCACACCAUUCAGUCUUUACUAUUGUCCAUCAACCAAAGUCAUAUUAACUAGGUUUAUGAAAUUAUCAAAAGUUGUCAGCCAUGCAUCUUAGUUGGUUGUUACAGUCUGGAUUAAGUCAUUCAACAUGUUAAUAUUGUGGUAAGCUAUAAAGUCAGGAACUAACGACAUGUUACAUUUUUAUUUUUAUUUUUAAGAGCAGCUUUGAGAAGACAGGGAAUCACAGCAGAUAAGCAGCAAAAGGAUGCAAGACUCAUCCUCUCUGUUGGCUAUUUUUCCACGCAAAAUGCCCCCAGCUGCUCCCACCACAGGAUUCCAAAUGCACAUUUAAGAGACUCUUCAACCCCCCUAUAUAACCUCUAGUGUGGACCUACUGCCCAAACUACACAUUACACUUGCAACCAGGAGAAUAAUUCUUCUCUGUUGCUAAGUGAACUUUGCACUGUUUUUACAAAAGAGAAAAGGUAGAAGGGAAAGGAAGCGCUUUGUCCUUCCCCUUCCAGUCACUUUUAUCCUAACCUCCCUCCCCCGACUACUGUUUUUAUACUCAGGCCAGGUGUUCAAGAUAUGUGUUUGCAAGGUGAGCAAGGGUCUGAAGAACAAACAGGAAUAAAAAUGAGUUUUGGUAUUGGGGAGGGGGGAUAUUUUAGGUUAAGCAACUAACAGGGAAAGAGUUAAACACUCCGUUUCCUCUUGACUUUCUGAUCUCUGGAAAGUGUCUCUUCUUGAGGUCACUUUGCUAUGAAAACAAAUAAUUUGGGCUUUAUCACACAUCGCUGCAAUGCUGCAGUGUGGCCAUACAGGAAUAGUUUUAUGCUAUUUCCCUUUUCUUGCUCUGGACCACAGAGUCCCUGCCUCCCUCUACUCUGGCCAAUACAAAAAUAUAAUUAUCUAAAUUAGUACUUUUGUGAAAUCGGAGACUCUAUGUUUAUUUCUGCUCAGCAUUAUAGACCAUGAAGAGGUCUGAAGGGGUUCCUGGCUGGUACUCCUAAUACAGAAUAAAUGACAUGGAUUUUCUUGCUAUUCUGCCAGUAUGUACUUUCUCCCUGCUCUCCAACCACUGCUAGUACAGCCUUCAUGACCAUUCAAUCCUUCUAUUUUUCCUUUAUUAUAUAAAGGAAAAGGAAGGAGCUGCAUGCUGUUCAACUGGUAUUGACAACUAUUGUCAUGCCAACCUCAAGGCAAAAUCAAUACAAUACCUUUUACUAAAAUAGCUUAUGUAGGUUAAAGGGAAGACAAGGUUUUGAACUAGAAAUAAUUCAUUGUUAGGAAGAUGACCCUUGUGGAGGAUUUCAGUGCCAUUCAAAAACUUGUUGCCUUUUCCUCCAUACAAGUUAGCCCCUGGGGGGGUGUGUGUGUGGAAAGAAGAUAGCUAAAGGUGGUAUGACAGAGCACAUCCAUUUUUGCUAUAAUCUCUGGAGGGGGAAACAGGUUUGGCAGGUUUUUGAAACAUCACAUCACAAAAGUCUACAAAACCUGUUUCAUUAAGUUGAAUAGGAUAAAUGUGUACAUCAUGGCCUGGCCUUUCAGGGUUUUUAAUUAGUUUUAAUUGUUUUAAUGCUAACCUGGUUUUUAGGGUUUUAAUUGUUUUGAUAGUUUGUUUUUUAAGAUGUUUUUAAAUUGGUGUUUAUAUCUGUAUUUCUGUUUUAAUUGUUUUUAAUGAUUUCUGCUUUUAAUUGUAAACCACCCUGAGCCAGCUCGGAAGGGCGGUAUAAAAAUCGAAUAGAAAAAUAAAUAAAUAAAUAGCCCAUGUCAUACAA
Long non-coding RNA from Hemicordylus capensis (graceful crag lizard), 3112 nucleotides. RefSeq lists it as uncharacterized. The transcript is spliced from 3 exons. The record is from RefSeq and is a predicted model, not a curated record. NCBI's taxonomy places the organism in Eukaryota, Metazoa, Chordata, Lepidosauria, Squamata, Cordylidae.